GACGAACGCUGGCGGCGUGCUUAACACAUGCAAGUCGAACGGAAAGGCCCUGCUUGCAGGGUACUCGAGUGGCGAACAGGUGAGUAACACGUGGGUGAUCUGCCCUGCACUUCGGGAUAAGCUUGGGAAACUGGGUCUAAUACCGGAUAGGAGCCAUCUUUAGUGUGGUGGUUGGAAAGUUUUUUCGGUGUAGGAUGAGCUCGCGGCCUAUCAGCUUGUUGGUGGGGUAAUGGCCUACCAAGGCGGCGACGGGUAGCCGGCCUGAGAGGGUGUACGGCCACAUUGGGACUGAGAUACGGCCCAGACUCCUACGGGAGGCAGCAGUGGGGAAUAUUGCACAAUGGGCGCAAGCCUGAUGCAGCGACGCCGCGUGGGGGAUGAAGGCCUUCGGGUUGUAAACUCCUUUCGCUAGGGACGAAGCUUUUUUGUGACGGUACCUAGAGAAGAAGCACCGGCUAACUACGUG
This 466-nucleotide ribosomal RNA is filed under the name uncultured bacterium. RNAcentral's name for it is "partial 16S ribosomal RNA". It matches the Rfam family "Bacterial small subunit ribosomal RNA", at positions 28 to 507 of the family's 1533-position model. The record is from RNAcentral.